This 6423-nucleotide long non-coding RNA is filed under the name Homo sapiens (human). RNAcentral describes it as "HSALNT0174887". Lineage: Eukaryota; Metazoa; Chordata; Mammalia; Primates; Hominidae. The record is from RNAcentral.
GGCCUGGAUGUGGCCCUGGGGGAAAAUUUCGGUGGAGGUCACUGAAUUCCUGAGAGUUUGCAGUGAGAACCAGGGAGAACAGUUGCCUCGGAAUGGGUGUGGGGGAGGGUGGGAGGAAAGAGUGGUGAGGGCAGACAUGGUGGGGGUAGGUGGGGUAGGGCUGGGAUCUGGGGUGCGCAUGGGGGCGGAGGCCAGUCCGGAUGGACACAGGAGCCUAUGGAGCGCGGAGACUGUGUGAAGGUGCAGGCGGUCGCCAGCAGCAAGGGGCACUCAGCAGCUCUGCAUCCCUGGACCGGAUCCCUCUCCCAGCCAGGCCCACUCCUUAGCCAGUCCGGAAGCUUGGAAAGACAGCGUGGGAUCCUGAGCCAGCCCUGGUCCUGCCAUCAGACAGACCUUGGUCAUCCUCCAGCUGGGUGACCGUGAGCCAGUUACCAAGCCUCAGUUUCCUCUUCUGUAAUACAGUCCAGAUGCCUGACCCUGCGCCCACCUGAAAACGACGGGUCCAGAGCCACAGACAAGCUCUGAUGCAGCCGAGGCUUGGUCCUUGACUUGCCAGCUGAGACUACAACUAACAGUCCCACAGAACUUGGCCCCAUCAGCUCGCUGUAUUCCGAAGCCCAGGAAAAGGCAGAUGCUUCUGCUGUGAGUUGAUAGACAGAGGCAAGAUGCUGCCCCAGGAUGUAUUCUUCAUCUGAUUGUCUGAAAUCCCAUCUUCAGUGCUCUGUUUCUACUGCUCAGGGGUUUCUUGGGCCACAGCCUCACCUUUGCCCAUCCCCCUCAGUUGGGAAUUGUCUGAAUUAAGAGUUAAAAAAGGUCAGAUCUUGGAAGGAUUGAGCCUCCUCUCCCAGGAGGCCCAGAGAAAACUUCAAGUCAUAAACCUAUUGUCCUGGAAACCCUCACUUCCCCUAGCUGUGCCUCGGUUUCCCCAUCUGUAAGCUGAGGAACCUCAUCUAGCUCUAGAAAAAAAAAAGCAGCCCUUCUGCCCCUAAAAAAAGUCUACAAAGUCAAUCGUGAGACCAGACCUUGACCUGUUCCGUUUGGCGCUCUGGAUUGCGGAGCAUACCGAGGAGUCCUGGAUGGCAGAGCAGAUGCAACGGCACCCCUGAGCUGCCCUCAGGGGGUCCUCAGCCUUGGAGGAGGCAGGAGACCUGGGCUAUGGAGCCACUCACAGGCCCUACUGAGAACAACUUGGUGUCCAUCACAGUCCUCUUCAGAAUGCCCAGAAUAUGGGGAUAAGAAGGUGAAACCGGCAUGUUUAUUAACACAAUGGAAUAUUCUGUGGCCAAAUCAAAGGAAGACGUUGAGGAUUCUGGUGACACCUGGAAACGUACUGCUAAGGGAAAAAAGCAGGACCACAAUGUUAUGUGGAUAUUGACUGCGACUAUAUAUAAUGCCAGCGUGGACUUCUCAGAGAUGGAAUUUGGAGGAAUGUAAUACAGAUGCAAAUAGAGUUUUCCCCACAUUGCCUUCUCCCGCGGUGUUUCUUCAUCUCUGUCAACAGCCUUGCCACCUACUCUGUUGCCCAAACCAGAAACUUGAUUCAAACUACACUUCUCCCUCUGCCCUCAUGCCCCGUUCCUGUUAGUCACAAGUCCUGCUGGUUCCAGCUCUGAGACAGCUUUCAGAGUACUCCUCCUCCUGUUCCCACAUUCACAUCCCUAGGGGACUCUCUCCUCCCAGCGUGUCUGUUCCCCCGCAUGCCCCCCACGCUCUGCUCCCCUGGCACCUCUGCCAUGCUGCUGCCCCAGGGCAGAUGUGGCCAAGGGGCUCCUCUCCUCCCACUCCUCGUUUGCUCCAGGAUCAAGGACACACUUCUUGGCCCAUUGAAGGCCCUUCCGGAUCCACUUCCUUAGCCUAGGCUCUAGCUUCUCCCUGCUUGCAGCCAUGCAGCAGGAGGCUCUCUUUAUUCCUCUUUGCCUGUGAAGAUAGCUGCCUCUGGCAGGAAUACCCUUUGCUGCCUCAUCUGCCUGGUCAACUCCUAUCCCCCAUUUCAGAUUUUGCCCAAGACUUUCUAAGACAGUAGAAGAAAGGUUUCCACUCCUUUCCCCUCCUGAAAACUGUACAGAAACCACAGGAGAACAGGAAUAGAAGCCUGAACUCCGUCUUUGGUGGAACAUGGAGACCUCCCUACUCUUGAAUCUCAAUACGUGGAGGGGGAAGCUGCUGGAGGAGGAUAAAGCGCUCAGCAGAGAGGAGAAACAUCAAACCUCUGUACUUACCAGUGGGGAAGGCACUAUAGAAAUGAGCUGAUUUUCUCUACAGAGACCCAGAAAGGGUCCAGGAUCAGAGGCACCAGGUAUCACAGGAAGUGGGGCAGGACCUGAGAAUAGGGGUAGGGGGUAGUUUGAAAGUCUGUGUAAGGAGCAGUAGACUUCCAAGUCCCACUCCAUCCUAUGCAGCCAGGUGACUGUCCUCCUUACUCCCACGAGAGACCAGAGGUCCUGGUCUCAGAGAUGCCAAGUGUGAAGAGAAGGGGUGAGGUGUCCUAAUAAAGGCUCCCAGCCUCCUUCCCCACCCACCUCCAGGGUACCAGAAUCAGGCUUAUGCCUGCAUCCUGCACUAACCCCAUGCAAAGAUUGAAGUGUGUUUUCACUGGAGGAAUUAAACAAGCCCAAAGAAAUGACUGACAGAUGCUUAUGCUCAGGGGUCUGUAGCAGAUAAGCUGGUGGGAGCAACUGAGUGUCCAAUUAACAUGCCACACUCAGGCACUUCAUACCUCCAACUGGCCCUGCAGUGGGGAACCAUUAAAUACCAACACACACCCAAAGAUCACGGACACUUGAGGGACACUUUCUCUCAGUAUUCUGAGGAAGAUAUGAACCAAGAGGAAAUGGAGACUAUGCAGGGAGCAGAAUAUAAGGUUGAAGAAACCAUAACUGAUAUCCUUAGAGAGAUACAAGAACAUAUUGCACCCAUUAAAAAGUAACAGAGUGAAAUAAAAAAGAAAUAGAGAAAAAGAAAGAAUCCUUAAAAGUAAAAAUCCUGAUGGUAAAAAUUUUAAAAAUUAUCAAGAGUUGGAAGAUAAAGUUGAAGAACUUCCUCUGUACAUAUAACAAAGAGAGACAAAGACAUGAAGCAGAGAAGAGGCAGGAGAGAAAGUGUAAGCAAUUAGGGAUCAUGCUGGGCGUGGUGACUCAUGCUUAUAAUCCCAGUGCUUCAGGAGGCUGAGGUGGGAGGAUUGCUUGAGGCCAGGAGUUUGGGACCAGCCUGGGCAACAUAGUAGAACCACAUUUCUACAGAAAAUAAACAAAUUAGUUGCAUAUGGUGCACCUGUAGUCGCAGCCACUAGGGGAGGCUGAGAUAGGAGGAUCACUUGAGCCCAGGAGGUUUUUUUUCUUCUGUUGUGCUGGGAUUACAGGUGUGAGCCACCAUGCCCGGCCGAGCCCAGGAGUUUGAGACUGCUGUUGAGCCCUGAUCGUACCACUGUACUCCAGUCUGGGUGACAGAGCAAGACCUGUCUCUGAAAAAAUUUAUAUAUAAUUAAUGAAUCAAUCUAGGAGGUCCAACAUUCAGCUAAUAGGGGUCCCGGAAAUGGAGAGAGGAAGGAAUGAAAUUGUCAAGGAAAUAAUACAAGAAAAUUUCCCAGAAUUAAAGGACAUGUGUCCUAGAUGGUAAGAUCCACUGAGUAUCCAACUCAGUCAGUGAAAAAAAUAUCCACAUCCAGGCUCAUCAUUACAACCUUUCAGAUGCAGAGAUCAAGGUAGUUCUGUGAGGUUUCUGGAGACAGCUGGCUGGGACUUAGACGAGACAAGUGAGGCACUUGCCUUGUGGGUGGAAUUUAAGGGGGCACCAAAAAACUCAGUGAUCAAGAUAAAAAAAUUAAUGCACUAUUUAAAAAAGAGGCCGGGCGCAGUGGCUCACGCCUGUAAUCCCAGCAGUUUGGGAGGCUAAGGCAGGCAGAUCACUUGAGGUCAGGAGUUCAAGACCAACCCAGCCAACAUGGAGAAACCCCAUCUCUACUAAAAAUACAAAAAUUAGCUGGACAUGGUGGUGCACACCUGUAAUCCCAGCUACUUAGGAGGCUGAGGCAGGAGAAUUGCUUGAACCUGGGAGUUGAAGGUUGCAGUGAGCCAAGAUCGCACCACUGCAUUCCAGCCUGGGUGACAGAGCAAGACUCUGUCUCAAAAAAAAAAAAAAAAAGAAAAGAAAAAGAAAGCAACCCAUGAUAAACAAACAGCAAAAUUUUAAGUAAAGACAUGAUGGUCCGACAGGACUGGGAUUUGGGCGAUGUGAGUGAGGUCAAGCUGAAUAAGCGUAGGUUUGGAUCUCGUCUUUAUUUGAAAUUGACAUUUCAAUGGGUGAAUUUUUUGGCACUCCCUUGCAUGUUUGCAUCUCAGAUGGGUGCUUCACUCACUUCGUCCUAGUCCCAGCUCCGCACAGGAAACCUCUGGAGUGAUGGCAUCAGGCUGCUCAACAGUGACACUGGAAGUUUGAAGACAAGGAAGCAAUGCCUUUCAAAAUUCUGACUAAGACUGGCUCAUGAGCGGUGGCUUAUGCCUGUAAUCCCAGCACUUCGGGAGGCUGAGGCGGGUGGAUCACUUGAGGUCAGGCAUUGGGGACCAGCCUGACCAACAUAGUGAAACCCCAUCUCUACUAAAAAUACAACAAUUAGCCGGCUGUGGUGGCACAGGCCUGUAGUCCCAGCUGCUUCGGAGGCUAAGGCAGGAGAAUUUCUUGAACCCGGGAGGCCAAGAUCACACCACUGCACUCCAGCCUGGGAGACAGUGAGACUUUGUCUCAAAAUAAGCAAAAAACAGAUCUGACUGAAGAUGUUUUUCUAACUAGUAUUCCACACCAACCCAGACUGUCAGUUAAACAUGAUGGGAGAAAUAAAGAGCUUUCUAGACAUAUUGUGUCUUCAAAUAACUUGCCUCCUAUGUACCUUUCUUAGGGAACUGCUGAAGGAUGUGUUUAACUUAAAUCAGGGCUCCAAGAAAGAAGUUAGAUCCAGAAACAAGGACUGCAACAGAGGAGGGAAGAGAGAAGGGAAUUCCUUGGGUCAUGGCUCCAGGGACACAAGGAGACAGCUAUGCCUUGGACCAGAGAGCAAGCUGCCUAGAUCAGCAGAAGUCAGAAGGCUCUAGUGGCUGGGGGAGUUUGUCCUCAGGAAGAAAACUCGGCCUAACAAAUGAUCUGACAGGUUUGGUGAUGUGGAAAAUUAUAUUGAGGCAUGGAAAGAUUUCAUCAAUUGUUUUCAUCAUCAACAACAACAACAAACCGUACUAAGUUGAUGAAAAAUGAGGUAAUUGUUAACAGGAAGAACAAAAAGGAAAGGAAAUAAGAUCAUAGUGUGCUACUUGGCCCAGGAAUAAGAUAAUAUUUGUGUAUUUAUAAAAGUGAAAAUGUGGAAUGUGGAUUUUAAAAGAUUGAGAUAUUAUUUUGGGAGCAUAAGGGGAGGAAAAGAGGGAAUGGAAGAAAAAUUUCUCUAAACACAACGAGGCUGAGAUGACGAGCCAAGAGAUUGAAGAAUACACAUGUUAUUUAGUUUUAUAUAUUUAUUUAUUUAUUUAGAGACAGGGUUUCACUCUGUCACCCAGGCUGGGGUGCAGUCGCUUGAUCUCAGCUCACUGACACCUCCACCUCCUGGGCUCAAGAAAUCCUCCUGCCUUUGCUUCUCCAGUAGCUGGGACUACAGGCAUGUGCCACUGCACCUGGCUAAUUUUUGUAUUUUUAGUAGAGAUGGGGUUUCAACAUGUUGCCCAGGCUGGUCUUGAACUCCUGGCUUCAAGUGAUCUCACCAGCCUUGGCUGUCCAAAGUGCUGGCAUUACAGGCAUGAGCCACCGCACCUGGCUUAAAGAAUACAUGUAUUAUUUAGAGAUGGGGAUAGAAAUAACAGCAGAGACAGCUUUGGGGAAACAAGGUGAAAGGAUAGGAAACAGGAGACUUCCAUUUUCAAUUGUAAGCUUUUUGGGGCACUAUUUGGUUUUUCAGAUUUAUAGGUAAUACUUUGAUGAAAAUAAAAACAAAUUUAGACAAAUAGGUUUGGCUCAUAUUCUCUCCUCUAUGAAGGAAGAUGCCCCCCCACCACCCUGCUGUCCUGAGCCUUCUCUCUCUGUGACAACUUGAGCACAGGGCUUGUGUCCCCAGCACUGACACAUGGCCCUAUUCUUCAUUUACUCAAAGACUAAGUGAGUGAAUUUUUUUUUUAAAAUAAAGUUUGUCAAGUUCAGGAUAAUUUAAAAAACAACAAAACCCAACUUUUGAAGAGGUCAAACUGGGAAAGUUAUGCUGCACUCACAUCAAGGGGCACUUGUCUUUUACUGGCUGUUACAGGUGAUAAUGACACUUAUUUAUUUAUUUAUUCAUUUUUUUAUUUUUGAGGGUCCAGUGUGUUUGGGUGAGGUUCCAGGCCGGAUGGGAACACGGUGGGGUUAGAGGCAGAUAUACCUGGGCUCCAAGGUUAUCUCUGCCACUUACGAACU